RNAcentral lists this ribosomal RNA (163 nucleotides) under Oscillospiraceae bacterium. RNAcentral's name for it is "partial 23S ribosomal RNA". It matches the Rfam family "Bacterial large subunit ribosomal RNA", at positions 2765 to 2925 of the family's 2925-position model. The record is from RNAcentral. Lineage: Bacteria; Bacillati; Bacillota; Clostridia; Eubacteriales; Oscillospiraceae.
UAAACGCUGAAGGCAUCUAAGCGUGAAACUCACCUCAAGAUGAGAUAUCCCUCCAGACUUGAUCUGGUAAGGUCACUUGUAGACUACGAGUUUGAUAGGUCGAAGGUGGAAGUGCAGUAAUGUAUGUAGCUGAUCGAUACUAAUAGACCGAGGGCUUGAACUU